CAUACAUCGGCAAGCCUCGCAGAACUCCAGCUAGCCCACCCCAUAAAUUCAAAAUCCCUAAUUUUACUUCAAAAACUCCAUCUCCGCUCGCUUUUCUCCCUCGACCUUGACUCAUCCCCACCGAAUCGUCUCUUUUCCUAGUUAAAAUGGGUGAUCCGACGGACCGAAUCAAAGGCUUCCCUUUACCUAAGGUUUCCUCUUUCGAUUCUAGGGUUUUAUUGGUUUUCUGCCGUUUUUCCUAUUGUUUUUAGUGGAGAAAUGAAAAUUUUAUUCUUCGAAUUCCUGAAAAUUGUAGACAUUUGUUUCGUUUUUCUAUUUGUGGGGGCAGAUCUGACCAUCGGAGAUCUCCAAGGCGCCUUGUGUUUGUUACUUCAGAGUUUUCUGCAGAAGAAUCGAGAGGUUUUUAGGUUGCUGACUUCAGUGAGCUGGAAGAAGGAGAGCUGCUAGAAGACUUACCAUACAGAUCCAUAUCCAAAUCAGUUCAAGCUUGGCAGGAAUUUGUGAAGGCAGUGAUAGCGUAUCAACAGAAAGUCAAUAGCUCAGCAUGUGCAGCAAAUAGUCUAAAGUUGGAUCAAGAAAUGGAGAAGAAGAGGAAGAUCAUUAUCCAAACACUUGAUUGGAGACAAGCAUUAGUAUUAACUGGUUGAAGCAAUCUGUCUUUCCAUUCAGCUGAGCAUCAUUGUUCUACUGACAAGAACCCCAGACGUCCAUUUAAUUUCUCAAGAGAAUAUCGUGGACAGUAUAACUCCUGACAAGAACAGAGACAAGCAUGAUGUGCUUACAACCUCAAGGACAAAAUGUUGAUGGUUGAGACUCGGCUGGAAAAAAUGUGCCAUGAAUACAUAUUGUUAAAGACAUAUCUAUAGAGCCUUGAAAAACUCAAUCUAAAAUCAGGACUGGUAUAAAAACCUUUCAUGGCGAGAACAUGUAUCCUCAGAAAUUGACAAGAAUGACACGACUGUGGUGAAGUUUAUAGAAUCAGUAGAGGUUUCUACUGUGGUUCUCAUAUAUCGAAGAGCAUCAAAACAUGUCUGCCCUGUCAUUGACUGAUCUCAUCUUCUGUUUUGUGGCUAUGAUUUGCUGAGGAGAUGCUGCAGUUAUUUUCAGUCCCAGCCGAUGUACGGUUUUGCCUGCUUGGCUGUAUGAGGUUGUGACUUUAUGGAAGGAUGUACUGCAGCCCCCAGUUUUCCAGCUUAUUCAUGUGCAUUUGUAGUUUGUUUUGAAAACUUUAAAUAGACUAUUAACUGUUUUGUUGGUA
Long non-coding RNA from Magnolia sinica, 1258 nucleotides. RefSeq lists it as uncharacterized. NCBI's taxonomy places the organism in Eukaryota, Viridiplantae, Streptophyta, Magnoliopsida, Magnoliales, Magnoliaceae. The transcript is spliced from 4 exons. The record is from RefSeq and is a predicted model, not a curated record.